GUACACAAAAAUGCACAUACUGUGAGCUCGAUGAGUAGGGCGGGACACGUGGUAUCCUGUCUGAAUAUGGGGGGACCAUCCUCCAAGGCUAAAUACUCCUGACUGACCGAUAGUGAACCAGUACCGUGAGGGAAAGGCGAAAAGAACCCCGGCGAGGGGAGUGAAAAAGAACCUGAAACCGUGUACGUACAAGCAGUGGGAGCCUCUUAAUGGGGUGACUGCGUACCUUUUGUAUAAUGGGUCAGCGACUUAUAUUCUGUAGCAAGGUUAACCGAAUAGGGGAGCCGAAGGGAAACCGAGUCUUAACUGGGCGUUAAGUUGCAGGGUAUAGACCCGAAACCCGGUGAUCUAGCCAUGGGCAGGUUGAAGGUUGGGUAACACUAACUGGAGGACCGAACCGACUAAUGUUGAAAAAUUAGCGGAUGACUUGUGGCUGGGGGUGAAAGGCCAAUCAAACCGGGAGAUAGCUGGUUCUCCCCGAAAGCUAUUUAGGUAGCGCCUCGUGAAUUCAUCUCCGGGGGUAGAGCACUGUUUCGGCAAGGGGGUCAUCCCGACUUACCAACCCGAUGCAAACUGCGAAUACCGGAGAAUGUUAUCACGGGAGACACACGGCGGGUGCUAACGUCCGUCGUGAAGAGGGAAACAACCCAGACCGCCAGCUAAGGUCCCAAAGUCAUGGUUAAGUGGGAAACGAUGUGGG
RNAcentral lists this ribosomal RNA (700 nucleotides) under Escherichia coli. RNAcentral's name for it is "partial 23S ribosomal RNA". It matches the Rfam family "Bacterial large subunit ribosomal RNA", at positions 375 to 1079 of the family's 2925-position model. The record is from RNAcentral. Lineage: Bacteria; Pseudomonadati; Pseudomonadota; Gammaproteobacteria; Enterobacterales; Enterobacteriaceae.